Molecule: RNA transcript, 6366 nt
Organism: Sphaerodactylus townsendi
Lineage: Eukaryota; Metazoa; Chordata; Lepidosauria; Squamata; Sphaerodactylidae
Gene: ITGB3BP
Gene name: integrin subunit beta 3 binding protein
Exons: 10
Source: RefSeq, a predicted model, not a curated record
GAAAGAAAGCAACAUGCCCUCAAGUGGUGCUCAGGAUGUGUUUGGACCAGGGUCUGCAAUCUCAAAGUUUUUGAGAUUGCAGGCUCCUUUGGAAUUCUGUUGCACAGAGAUGGGUGCAACCCAAAAUUGCUGCCAUAAGAGGCAGCUCCAAUCACAAAAUGCCAGUGUUAAGAGAGCUUUGAAGUUGGACAGCUUUUCCAUGACAAAAAGGCCCAGAACAUCGCUGGAGAGCAUGAAGAAAAAUCACAAGCCUUAUUCACCAACAACAGGAACACGUUCAAUCAGUCCAUUUUCAAGUCCCAGGAGCAAUAAUGUACAAGAGCAAAGAAAUGGUCUAUCAAAUGGGUGCAGAAAGGAAGUCCAUGGCCUGCUGAAAAGCUCAUCCAAAAAAGGACAACCUGAAAUGGAAAAGAGUGUCAAAUUCUUAGUGGCAAAGCCUUCAGCUGAUGAUUCAGUGGAACGAUUUCUGCAAUUGAGACAGAAACUGACCAGUUUACAGGCUUUGGAGGGCACCAGAGAGCUUGAAAAUAUUAUCAGUGUUUCAGACAACUCCUGCAACUUAAAAAGUGAAGUGAGAAAAAACAGAGAGCUAAUGGGACAAGUAAGAAAACUGAAGCAGCUGGAAAAAAGCCAGAAAGGCCUUCCUGUUGAAGGAGUCUCAAGGAGCCCAGUGAUUCAAAGUGGUAAGCUACAAUACUACAGUCAAAACUCUGCUCACAACCUGAGUUCAAUUCCAGCAGAAGUUGGUUUCAGGUAACCAGCUCAAGGUUGACCCUCCAUCCUUCCAAGAAUGUCAUCGACCUGUCAACAGCUUCAAAUUCCUUAAAUCCCUCAUUGAAUAAGCUGAGAUUGCCAAAGUCAUUCACUUGUAUCUCAAAGCAUGGAGAUUCAACCAAUGAUGAUUGACAAGCAUCACACCUUCUUCCAAGACCUUCCAAGACCUGCCUAAUCCAUGGGCUGAAUAUGAUGGAACGUUGUCUGUACAUAUACAGUACAGAGGGGAUUCCUUUGCAUAAAGUCUUACUCUUCUUGCCACUUUCAUGGGGGUAGGGUAGUAAGCAAAGACUGCAUGUCCUGUGAACACUUAUAAAUUGUUACACUUCCAGCAUCUAUUCCAGUGUUACAAUCUACUGUAUUGACCUAGAAGAGCCGAUGGAAUGUGAUAGGCAUCUUGAUGACACUCUCUGCCAUGUUUAGAUUUGAGGUGUUUUGAGGUAAAGACGAGCAUACCUCAGUCAUCUUGCUGCAAACAGCUAUUUCACAGCAUGAUUUUUAAUGGAAGUCUGCACUUUCUGAAGCAUAAUGAAGAAGUCCCAGUUCUUGCCUGGUAGGCAAACAGUAAGUUCAUUGAGUCUGUCAAAUAUGUCAGCCAAGUACUCCCGAGUAAAGCCAGAAAAGGUUUGUCAGGGAAGUGACAAGUCCAUCAAAAUAUAUGGCUGAGUUCACAGGCUCUUUCAGCUUCUUAUUACACUCUUUAUAAAAUCUGCAGCUUUCACAGUUGCAACAAGAACUUCAUCUUGUUCCUCUAGAUUUGUAGCUAGUAGCUAGUAUUUCCAUAUGCAGUAUUCUUGCAAUGUUGCAUCAUAGUGGCUUUGCUUUGUAACGUUGUUAUUCUUGAUCUAUAUUAACUGAACUAGUAGCUUUGACUAGUUUUUGGUCUUCUUGUUGAGCAAUGCUAAAAAAGGAAUUCCUCUUUGAUCUCAUGUACACCAGCACAGUAAAUGGUUAAUUGUGUAUUAUUGGUGCCAUUAGUACUGUCUUCUGUUCGCAGAGCGUGAAAAGGAUGAAGAUCUCAAUCUAGCUACGGGGAAGAGUGCGGAGGUGACUGCGGACGGUGCCACCUCCACAGGGGCUUUGGGUGGUGUGGAAAGGAGGGAAAGUUGAAAUCCAUCCACCACCCGAAUUGCCCCGUAGAGCAAACAGGCUUGUGCCACACUUUUGUGUGACAUGACUCUGCAGGGCUUGGAAACACCAGUGGAAGCUGACUAAUGUCGACUCUAUCCCUGGGAGGCCCAUCCCGCUGGCACCCACUUGGGACGCCAGUGCAAUUCCGCAGCGACCCGGACUUCCGAGUUUCACCAUCAUGUUGCUGAGGGACAGCCAGCCACCAGCGCCUUUGUCCCCUCUGACAGUGGGGAUGUCCCUUGCACUGGUGAGGGAUCAAAUGCAUCAGUGUGGCCCUCCACCAUUCCCUAUGUGUGUUCAGCCCUCCCCAUCUGGAUUGGGCUAUUCCAGUGAAUAAACUAUCUAACGAAUACCUUACUGGCAACUCUGCAUUAAAUGGUGGACUUUGAAAGCAGGAGAAGACUUAGAUGUUUUGCUUGUUUCUAAUGCUCAUAUUAUUAGUAAUGCUGGCAGUACAAGCAUUUUUUUGCUGAGAGACCAGUUAAACCCACUUUGUCUUCCUAUAAUCUAUAAGGCCUUGUGACACUUUGAAAUGUUUAGCAAAUUAAUUGAAUUUCUUUUUUUAACAUAUUUAUCUUUGAAGGCAGGAUGACUUUUUCAAAUGGGGGUUUAAUUGAUUUAAUUGUUAAUUUAAUUAAGUUUUUUUGAUAUAUUGAGUUCAUUCGGGGCCUUUCCUAUUGUAAAAUGGUGAACUAAAAUAAAAUUGGGAGGCAUUUAUCACGUACCCUAUGUUGCCAUACUUCAAAAUAAGCGUAAUAUCUAAUUUGUGAUUCACUAUAAAUAUGUAAUAGGACUCAUUGUGUAGCUAUGAACAAUAUGUGAAAGAAAAAACAGUAUAUAAUUGUUUCAUUGUUUUUAAUCAACCCAGGCCUUAACUGAAGAUACUCAUCCUGGGUGCAGGAUUCUUCCAAUUCUGCUAAACAUGUUGAAAAGAAAUAUUAUAAAUCUAUCUCCCUGAAAAUACCAUUGAAGGAUUCAUCAGUGGACUAGGCAGGUGCGCAUCUAGAUACAGUUUCUUGCAUCUAAUUUAAACUUCACAGUAUGUACAACCAGAUAAUCUAAUGUAAAUGGUACAGUUGUCCAUAUCUUUUGUAUGCAAAUGAGUAAUGGCAGAAGUUGUAUUAGUUCUGUAUUGUUACAGUACCCAGUUUCCUGCACUAUCUUGGAAAAUACUUUAGUGAACUUUUCCUCAUACUGGGGAAGAAGAGCUCCUCUUACGAGAUGGGCACUAUUUCCCAGGCCUUCAAACAAACUGAAAAUUUCACAGCAAUUAUAUGCUCCAGGUUCCCUCUGAAGACCUGCCAAUUUUACUGCAAACAAUGAAGGUUGCUUGCCAGCUUGCAGAGCAUUGUUUACGCAUCUUAUCAACACUCGGCAACAAGAGCAGCUCUUUGGCCAGUGUCAUUUACUUUAUCGCAAACAAAGCAUUUCCAAUGUCCUUUUUAGUUAUUACCAACCCUUGACUUAAGAAAAUAUCACAGAAGUCUCAUUUUUCAGUGCUAGAAAAUAAUUUCCAAAUUUGCAGUUUCUUGCCUAAGAAGUGUCAUUAAAUAUUUCAGAAUAGACCUGCUCAGGAUUGUGUUGUAAUGGAUUUAAAAUUAAGCACUAAAAGAUUAACAUUUGUGUGCUGUAACAACUAUAGACAUGAGAGAUGGUGAAACUACUUAUAGUGUUUACUGAGAUCCAUUCAUUCAGAAUAAUUGUGUGAUAACCUGGGAAUUAGAGGAGUGCAAGUAAGAGAUUCUCAAGGACUUGCGGAGGAGGGGUGGGUCUCACUUUCCCUUUCCCACCAUUUAUUCCUUUCCUUCCCUGAAAGUCCCAUAGCCCCUCCCUUUUUCCUUCUCUCCCUCCUUCCUAUCACCCAAGCUAUCUUUAUCCUCCACCCCCCUGGAAACAUCUUCCUACGAAAACUUUGCACAAUUCUGAUUGCCAGGCUGGGGAAUUACUUGUGGAGGGUUCCUGUAUCUCAGUCCAUGCACUAUUUUCUCCUCUUGGCAGCCCCCAAGUCCUCACGUUUUCCUGUUUCCAUUUCCCACAAAACUUGCAUGAUUCAGCUAGACCUGGCCACUUGCUGCUGUUCAACAGCAGCCAUCUCUUGAAACCCAAUGCGGUGUAGCCAGACUUCCUCACAGGGUUGUUUUGAAGAUAAAAAGGAGGAGGAUAAAGUAAGAUGCUUUAGUUCCCAUCAUAUAGAGAAAGAUGGGAUACAAAUUAAAUAAAUAAAUGAUAGAUACAGCUGAAGAUGAGAGGUAGAUAAAAGGUAGGUUGGUGAAUGGCAGAGAAAGAGAGAAUGAGGAAAGGGAAAAGGAAAUAACGGUUGCCAGGAGGUGAGAAAGAGAAAAUAGUGUGGGUAAGGAGGCCCCCUCCCCCACAAGUCCUUGAGGGUUCCCUCCCAUUCAAAUAGGCCUGGUCCAGUGACUGGCACUACAGAAUUGGGCCAUAAUUUUACUAGGUAAAAUCUGCUGGGGAGUGGAGGAGCUGAAGAAAGAGUGCCAGAUAAAUAUAGGUUGGCUGAUGGGUGAAAUGAAGUGAAGGAAGGAGGGAAAAGAGUGGGAUUAUGGGGUGCUUCAGGAAAGACAGAAAGAGAGGAAGGGGAAAAUGAGAUGCUUCUUCCAAGUCCUUGCAUGUUCCCACUUGUGUAUAUGUAUAAUCUCCACAGAUUUGGCCACACUAAGAAUUAGAUAAUUGACCCACAAGAAGUUGCGGUGGGGGGGGGGAGGAUUUCAUUUUCACCUCCACCACUUCCCUUCCCUGAAACUCUUCUUAUCCUUUCUAACCGUUUCUUCUCUCCUUGCAACCCCACCCCCACCAGCCUACUUUUUAUCUGUCUCCCUUCAACUAUAUUAUUUCAUUCAUAACCUCCCUUUCUCUGCAAUGGAGACCCAACCCUGCUUGUUUUAUACAUCAUUUUUACCGAGCUCUUUUGUAAAUAUAUAUAUCCUGCCUUAUAUGUCUCCUCCAUCUCCAAGUUAAUAUUCCUCCCUUUACCAUCUCCUCUAUUAAAUAAAUCUGAGUUACUGUUUAACUUUACUUCUGCCUUAGUAUAUUUAUUUUAGUAUGCCUGGUGAGGGGAGUGCCCGGAAAGGAAUUAAAAGUCAACGGGCAUGCUUCAGCUUCUGGGAAACAGGGCUGAUGGAAAGCACUUCUUGUUACCAAAUGCUACCAUUUCUGAAGCAGCUCAGUCCCUGAAGACGAAAAGGUGGAAAAAUCUGACAAUCCUGGCCAGUGAGUGCUUUCCCAGCUUGAAGAAGGUAAAAGGGGUGCUGUCACAGCAUCAUUUUCAAAGCAAGAAAAGCAGAUUUUCACUGAUAUAGAACCAAAACCUUCAGUGGGCCUACAACAAUAUGAAAUGAUGACAGAGCAUUCAUUACAUGUAUAACAGCUCAAUUCUAACCAUAUUUCUUUACAAGGAGGUUCCAUUAAUUUAAAUGAGACUUAUCCCCUAGUAGGUGUGCAUAAGACUGCAGCCUAAGCCUAUAGAAGCAGCUACUGUUUCUUGACCUUUUAUACUUAGCAUUUCCCCUUCAGAAACAGCUGGGUCUAUUAAGGACCAUUUCCUACUUCUACAUAAGGUAGAUCAUGUAACUCUCAGUUUAUCAUCCCUGAAGGCCAUCUGAAGGACAAAGAAAAGAGAUACACAUAAAACUAAUGUUUUCAUAUGCUGGAGAACACUUGCUCUGGUCUUCUAGUGACUACAAGAGGCAAGGGGAAUGGAAAUAUGAGAUGAUUGCCCUGUCAUCAAGAGUAGUUGUUUCACACUGUCGGACUCCGAAAAAGUCUUUCAGUGCUGUCAUUUCUUAGAAGUAUUUUACUAAUCUGGAUUUGGGCAGAAUAGUAGGGAUUAUCUUUCCCAAGAUUCCAUGGAUAUGAUAUUGUGUAUGUCUUAAUACCAGCAAGGGCCCAGUCUCAUACCUUAUUUAAAACUGAAGUAAAAAUGCUAUGCUAUUUGUAAUCCACUCUCAGCAUUAUGUACCAUGCCUUAGAAAGUUUGCUUGCUUGCAUUGGUUUCUAAUUCUGUAAUCCUUAUCCUCUUGUUUACUGGAUGUGUUAUGUUGAUUGCAUUUUUAAAUAUUUUGUAAUCUUCCUUCAGUCUCAGCAACAAAGAAAAGCUAUAAUAGGACUUGAGGCUUAAGGCACCCCUUGUAAUGCAGAGCUGUGUGCUGGGUCAGAAUUACUCCUCAUUGUGCCAAUCUCCUCUCAAUAUUGCCCAACAUAAGGGGAGGAAAGCAAAGUUUAUUUUGAUAUUGCUUAGUGUGAAAGCAUUCUUUAAACAGGGUUUUCAUAUCAACGUUUAGGAGAUGACAGCUAAAGUCUAAGGGUCACUAAGAAUGUUACUCCCCCAUCCUAGUGUGCUUUUUAAAAAGUGUGUGGAUGUUUAAAUUGUCUUUCUGAUAAUCUGUGAUAAAGUUUUACAGAAUACCACAUGAUAGAAAUUAUUUAAAUAAAAGUCUAUCCAACAGA